GCCCGGGUGGCUCAGUCGGUUAAGCGUCUGACUUCGGCUCAGGUCGUGAUCUCGCGGUCCGUGAGUUCGAGCCCCGCGUCGGGCU
This 85-nucleotide transfer RNA is filed under the name Felis catus (domestic cat). It matches the Rfam family "tRNA". From Rfam's summary of the family: Transfer RNA (tRNA) molecules are approximately 80 nucleotides in length. Lineage: Eukaryota; Metazoa; Chordata; Mammalia; Carnivora; Felidae. The record is from Rfam by way of RNAcentral.